ACCGAUUGACUAAGGUUUCCAGAGGAAGGCUCGUCCGCUCUGGGUUAGUCGGGUCCUAAGCUGAGGCCGACAGGCGUAGGCGAUGGAUAACAGGUUGAUAUUCCUGUACCACCUAUAAUCGUUUUAAUCGAUGGGGGGACGCAGUAGGAUAGGCGAAGCGUGCGAUUGGAUUGCACGUCUAAGCAGUAAGGCUGAGUAUUAGGCAAAUCCGGUACUCGUUAAGGCUGAGCUGUGAUGGGGAGAAGACAUUGUGUCUUCGAGUCGUUGAUUUCACACUGCCGAGAAAAGCCUCUAGAUAGAAAAUAGGUGCCCGUACCGCAAACCGACACAGGUAGUCAAGAUGAGAAUUCUAAGGUGAGCGAGCGAACUCUCGUUAAGGAACUCGGCAAAAUGACCCCGUAACUUCGGGAGAAGGGGUGCUCUUUAGGGUUAACGCCCAGAAGAGCCGCAGUGAAUAGGCCCAAGCGACUGUUUAUCAAAAACACAGGUCUCUGCUAAACCGUAAGGUGAUGUAUAGGGGCUGACGCCUGCCCGGUGCUGGAAGGUUAAGAGGAGUGGUUAGCUUCUGCGAAGCUACGAAUCGAAGCCCCAGUAAACGGCGGCCGUAACUAUAACGGUCCUAAGGUAGCGAAAUUCCUUGUCGGGUAAGUUCCGACCCGCACGAAAGGCGUAACGAUUUGGGCACUGUCUCAACGAGAGACUCGGUGAAAUCAUAGUACCUGUGAAGAUGCAGGUUACCCGCGACAGGACGGAAAGACCCCGUGGAGCUUUACUGUAGCCUGAUAUUGAAAUUCGGCACAGCUUGUACAGGAUAGGUAGGAGCCUUUGAAACGUGAGCGCUAGCUUACGUGGAGGCGCUGGUGGGAUACUACCCUAGCUGUGUUGGCUUUCUAACCCGCACCACUUAUCGUGGUGGGAGACAGUGUCAGGCGGGCAGUUUGACUGGGGCGGUCGCCUCCUAAAAGGUAACGGAGGCGCUCAAAGGUUCCCUCAGAAUGGUUGGAAAUCAUUCAUAGAGUGUAAAGGCAUAAGGGAGCUUGACUGCGAGACCUACAAGUCGAGCAGGGUCGAAAGACGGACUUAGUGAUCCGGUGGUUCCGCAUGGAAGGGCCAUCGCUCAACGGAUAAAAGCUACCCCGGGGAUAACAGGCUUAUCUCCCCCAAGAGUUCACAUCGACGGGGAGGUUUGGCACCUCGAUGUCGGCUCAUCGCAUCCUGGGGCUGUAGUCGGUCCCAAGGGUUGGGCUGUUCGCCCAUUAAAGCGGUACGCGAGCUGGGUUCAGAACGUCGUGAGACAGUUCGGUCCCUAUCCGUCGUGGGCGUAGGAAAUUUGAGAGGAGCUGUCCUUAGUACGAGAGGACCGGGAUGGACAUACCUCUGGUGUACCAGUUGUCGUGCCAACGGCAUAGCUGGGUAGCUAUGUGUGGACGGGAUAAGUGCUGAAAGCAUCUAAGCAUGAAGCCCCCCUCAAGAUGAGAUUUCCCAACUUCGGUUAUAAGAUCCCUCAAAGAUGAUGAGGUUAAUAGGUUCGAGGUGGAAGCAUGGUGACAUGUGGAGCUGACGAAUACUAAUCGAUCGAAGACUUAAUCAA
Molecule: ribosomal RNA, 1591 nt
Filed under: Staphylococcus aureus
Lineage: Bacteria; Bacillati; Bacillota; Bacilli; Caryophanales; Staphylococcaceae
Description: partial 23S ribosomal RNA
Rfam family: Bacterial large subunit ribosomal RNA
Source: RNAcentral